This 899-nucleotide long non-coding RNA is filed under the name Bos grunniens (domestic yak). RNAcentral's name for it is "lncRNA (ENSBGRG00000022139.1)". The record is from RNAcentral. Lineage: Eukaryota; Metazoa; Chordata; Mammalia; Artiodactyla; Bovidae.
UCAUUUCCUGUCCGCACCGUAGACUAGUUCAAAAAAUAUCCUUCCCCUCGCAGUCUGACAGAGGUCUAAGGUUUGGUGGGGUUUUAUUUUUUGCUUUCCCCUCCAGCCAGGACCCUUCACGACCUGAUGGCAGAGCUUGUUAGCAUAUAGGUGGUUUAACCGCUCCCAGCUGAGCCCUCAGCCCCAGACAACCACAGCCAUUGUCAUGGAUCAGAGAGAUCUCAGCCACAGACCUUGUGCUCCUGACUCAUGGGCUUCCCAGAGAGACCGCAGGUUGGCUGCCAACACCCUGAAGACAGCAAGGCUGCCCAGUCCCCCAACGCCUGCCAAGGACAGAUUCUACCUGCAACGUGGACCCAGAGAGUCAUUCUCGAACAAAGGAACCCCAGAGGCCUGAACUUACUCAGAAUUGACUUCUGCGUCCUUCUAUUAUUGGGACUGACAUUUGAAGUAGGUUGAAGCCAUACAAUUUUGCUAUUUAGAGGAUUCAGCUUAAGGUAACGGUCAAGUUGCAUAAUUCAAGAUGAAAGGGUUUGGGGCUUCCCUGGCGGUACAGCAUUUAAGAAUCCACCUGCCAGUGAAGAGGAAAUGAUUUUGAUCCCUGGCCCGGGAAGAUUCCACCUACCACCCAGCAACUAAGCCAGUGCGGAACAACCACUGAUUCUGAUGCUGCAGCUACUGGAGCCUGCGUGCCUACAGUGUGGUCUGCAGCAAGAGAAGCCACCACAAGAGAAGCCCGUGCUCGGCAAUGAGGAGUACCCUCUGCUCACUGCAACUAGAGAGAGCCUGCCUGUAGCAGUGAAGACCCAGUGCAACCAAAAAGAAAUAAACAAGUUUUUAAAAAAGAAAAACCAAAGCCUUAUGUCAUGAGACUUUUUCUGUUUUCUUCACUCACCUCC